GUGAUUGUGAUUGUGAUUGUUAUCGGUGUUUCGAUCGCUCUUCUUCUUCCUGCUCUGAUUCUUUGGCUGAUUCGUAAAAAAAGAGCCGAUGUCAGAAGAGAGACUGAUGACUCUGUGGAGCAGACAGAUGAUGUGACUUAUACUGAAGUUACUGUGUGCAGUAAAAACAGAUCCAAGAAGAACAAGGUUCGCUGUGAUGAUAAAGUGACUUACGCUUCCAUCAGAGCAACAAAAGCUGGAGCUCAGGAAAACUGCAGUCAACUUUAUGCCUCUGUGAACAAGAACCAUCACAAAUCAGACAAAUAAUUAUACAGAAACCACAUGAGCAGAGCAAUAUGAACCGUGACUCCUGAUGGUUUGAUUCACUGCCAUUAUAAUAAUAUCACAUGUUAAGAAACCAGCUCUGAUGUAUUUGUAGUUAUUGCUGAUUCUGGUCAGAUUAUUGUGUUAUUAGGGGAUCCGUAGAGCACCAGUGAUCCAGAUUUAAUCAUAUGAAAGACUUUAUCUAGAUUAAUGUAAUCCAAACCAAUUUAGCUUUAAAAAACCAUCAGAAAGUGAGAUGAUUACCUGAUCCUGGAUAUAAU
This is a long non-coding RNA of Carassius carassius (crucian carp), 584 nucleotides long. RefSeq lists it as uncharacterized. Lineage: Eukaryota; Metazoa; Chordata; Actinopteri; Cypriniformes; Cyprinidae. The record is from RefSeq and is a predicted model, not a curated record. The transcript is spliced from 4 exons.